Molecule: ribosomal RNA, 1445 nt
Filed under: bacterium
Lineage: Bacteria
Description: bacterial SSU rRNA
Rfam family: Bacterial small subunit ribosomal RNA
Source: RNAcentral
CAUUGGCGGCGGCUAACACAUGCAGUCGAGCGGUAGCACAGAGAGCUUGCUCUCGGGUGACGAGCGGCGGACGGGUGAGUAAUGUCUGGGAAACUGCCUGAUGGAGGGGGAUAACUACUGGAAACGGUAGCUAAUACCGCAUAAUGUCGCAAGACCAAAGAGGGGGACCUUCGGGCCUCUUGCCAUCAGAUGUGCCCAGAUGGGAUUAGCUAGUAGGUGGGGUAACGGCUCACCUAGGCGACGAUCCCUAGCUGGUCUGAGAGGAUGACCAGCCACACUGGAACUGAGACACGGUCCAGACUCCUACGGGAGGCAGCAGUGGGGAAUAUUGCACAAUGGGCGCAAGCCUGAUGCAGCCAUGCCGCGUGUAUGAAGAAGGCCUUCGGGUUGUAAAGUACUUUCAGCGGGGAGGAAGGUGUUGAGGUUAAUAACCUCAGCAAUUGACGUUACCCGCAGAAGAAGCACCGGCUAACUCCGUGCCAGCAGCCGCGGUAAUACGGAGGGUGCAAGCGUUAAUCGGAAUUACUGGGCGUAAAGCGCACGCAGGCGGUCUGUCAAGUCGGAUGUGAAAUCCCCGGGCUCAACCUGGGAACUGCAUUCGAAACUGGCAGGCUAGAGUCUUGUAGAGGGGGGUAGAAUUCCAGGUGUAGCGGUGAAAUGCGUAGAGAUCUGGAGGAAUACCGGUGGCGAAGGCGGCCCCCUGGACAAAGACUGACGCUCAGGUGCGAAAGCGUGGGGAGCAAACAGGAUUAGAUACCCUGGUAGUCCACGCCGUAAACGAUGUCGACUUGGAGGUUGUGCCCUUGAGGCGUGGCUUCCGGAGCUAACGCGUUAAGUCGACCGCCUGGGGAGUACGGCCGCAAGGUUAAAACUCAAAUGAAUUGACGGGGGCCCGCACAAGCGGUGGAGCAUGUGGUUUAAUUCGAUGCAACGCGAAGAACCUUACCUACUCUUGACAUCCAGAGAACUUUCCAGAGAUGGAUUGGUGCCUUCGGGAACUCUGAGACAGGUGCUGCAUGGCUGUCGUCAGCUCGUGUUGUGAAAUGUUGGGUUAAGUCCCGCAACGAGCGCAACCCUUAUCCUUUGUUGCCAGCGGUCCGGCCGGGAACUCAAAGGAGACUGCCAGUGAUAAACUGGAGGAAGGUGGGGAUGACGUCAAGUCAUCAUGGCCCUUACGAGUAGGGCUACACACGUGCUACAAUGGCGCAUACAAAGAGAAGCGACCUCGCGAGAGCAAGCGGACCUCAUAAAGUGCGUCGUAGUCCGGAUUGGAGUCUGCAACUCGACUCCAUGAAGUCGGAAUCGCUAGUAAUCGUAGAUCAGAAUGCUACGGUGAAUACGUUCCCGGGCCUUGUACACACCGCCCGUCACACCAUGGGAGUGGGUUGCAAAAGAAGUAGGUAGCUUAACCUUCGGGAGGGCGCUACCACCUUGGAUUUCGGGGC